This 270-nucleotide ribosomal RNA is filed under the name uncultured bacterium. Its description in RNAcentral is "partial 16S ribosomal RNA". It matches the Rfam family "Bacterial small subunit ribosomal RNA", at positions 29 to 328 of the family's 1533-position model. The record is from RNAcentral.
AACGAACGCUGGCGGCAGGCUUAACACAUGCAAGUCGAACGCCCCGCAAGGGGAGUGGCAGACGGGUGAGUAACGCGUGGGAACAUACCCCUCGGUUCGGAAUAACUCAGGGAAACUUGAGCUAAUACCGAAUACGGUCGAGAGGCGAAAGAUUUAUCGCCGAGGGAUUGGCCCGCGUCCGAUUAGCUAGUUGGUGAGGUAAUGGCUCACCAAGGCGACGAUCGGUAGCUGGUCUGAGAGGAUGAUCAGCCACAUUGGGACUGAGACACG